Non-coding RNA from Bos taurus (domestic cattle), 72 nucleotides. Lineage: Eukaryota; Metazoa; Chordata; Mammalia; Artiodactyla; Bovidae. The record is from Rfam.
UCCCUGGUGGCUCAGAUGGUAAAGCGUCUGCCUACAAUGCAGGAGACCCAGGUUCGAUCCCUGGGUUGGGAA